RNAcentral lists this ribosomal RNA (253 nucleotides) under uncultured bacterium. RNAcentral describes it as "partial 16S ribosomal RNA". It matches the Rfam family "Bacterial small subunit ribosomal RNA", at positions 524 to 776 of the family's 1533-position model. The record is from RNAcentral.
UACGAAGGGGGCUAGCGUUGCUCGGAAUCACUGGGCGUAAAGGGUGCGUAGGCGGGUCGUUAAGUCAGGGGUGAAAUCCUGGAGCUCAACUCCAGAACUGCCUUUGAUACUGAAGAUCUUGAGUUCGGGAGAGGUGAGUGGAACUGCGAGUGUAGAGGUGAAAUUCGUAGAUAUUCGCAAGAACACCAGUGGCGAAGGCGGCUCACUGGCCCGGUACUGACGCUGAGGUGCGAAAGCGUGGGGAGCAAACAGG